This 2015-nucleotide ribosomal RNA is filed under the name Staphylococcus aureus. RNAcentral describes it as "bacterial LSU rRNA". It matches the Rfam family "Bacterial large subunit ribosomal RNA", at positions 14 to 2027 of the family's 2925-position model. Lineage: Bacteria; Bacillati; Bacillota; Bacilli; Caryophanales; Staphylococcaceae. The record is from RNAcentral.
AGGGCGCACGGUGGAUGCCUUGGCACUAGAAGCCGAUGAAGGACGUUACUAACGACGAUAUGCUUUGGGGAGCUGUAAGUAAGCUUUGAUCCAGAGAUUUCCGAAUGGGGAAACCCAGCAUGAGUUAUGUCAUGUUAUCGAUAUGUGAAUACAUAGCAUAUCAGAAGGCACACCCGGAGAACUGAAACAUCUUAGUACCCGGAGGAAGAGAAAGAAAAUUCGAUUCCCUUAGUAGCGGCGAGCGAAACGGGAAGAGCCCAAACCAACAAGCUUGCUUGUUGGGGUUGUAGGACACUCUAUACGGAGUUACAAAGGACGACAUUAGACGAAUCAUCUGGAAAGAUGAAUCAAAGAAGGUAAUAAUCCUGUAGUCGAAAAUGUUGUCUCUCUUGAGUGGAUCCUGAGUACGACGGAGCACGUGAAAUUCCGUCGGAAUCUGGGAGGACCAUCUCCUAAGGCUAAAUACUCUCUAGUGACCGAUAGUGAACCAGUACCGUGAGGGAAAGGUGAAAAGCACCCCGGAAGGGGAGUGAAAUAGAACCUGAAACCGUGUGCUUACAAGUAGUCAGAGCCCGUUAAUGGGUGAUGGCGUGCCUUUUGUAGAAUGAACCGGCGAGUUACGAUUUGAUGCAAGGUUAAGCAGUAAAUGUGGAGCCGUAGCGAAAGCGAGUCUGAAUAGGGCGUUUAGUAUUUGGUCGUAGACCCGAAACCAGGUGAUCUACCCUUGGUCAGGUUGAAGUUCAGGUAACACUGAAUGGAGGACCGAACCGACUUACGUUGAAAAGUGAGCGGAUGAACUGAGGGUAGCGGAGAAAUUCCAAUCGAACCUGGAGAUAGCUGGUUCUCUCCGAAAUAGCUUUAGGGCUAGCCUCAAGUGAUGAUUAUUGGAGGUAGAGCACUGUUUGGACGAGGGGCCCCUCUCGGGUUACCGAAUUCAGACAAACUCCGAAUGCCAAUUAAUUUAACUUGGGAGUCAGAACAUGGGUGAUAAGGUCCGUGUUCGAAAGGGAAACAGCCCAGACCACCAGCUAAGGUCCCAAAAUAUAUGUUAAGUGGAAAAGGAUGUGGCGUUGCCCAGACAACUAGGAUGUUGGCUUAGAAGCAGCCAUCAUUUAAAGAGUGCGUAAUAGCUCACUAGUCGAGUGACACUGCGCCGAAAAUGUACCGGGGCUAAACAUAUUACCGAAGCUGUGGAUUGUCCUUUGGACAAUGGUAGGAGAGCGUUCUAAGGGCGUUGAAGCAUGAUCGUAAGGACAUGUGGAGCGCUUAGAAGUGAGAAUGCCGGUGUGAGUAGCGAAAGACGGGUGAGAAUCCCGUCCACCGAUUGACUAAGGUUUCCAGAGGAAGGCUCGUCCGCUCUGGGUUAGUCGGGUCCUAAGCUGAGGCCGACAGGCGUAGGCGAUGGAUAACAGGUUGAUAUUCCUGUACCACCUAUAAUCGUUUUAAUCGAUGGGGGGACGCAGUAGGAUAGGCGAAGCGUGCGAUUGGAUUGCACGUCUAAGCAGUAAGGCUGAGUAUUAGGCAAAUCCGGUACUCGUUAAGGCUGAGCUGUGAUGGGGAGAAGACAUUGAGUCUUCGAGUCGUUGAUUUCACACUGCCGAGAAAAGCCUCUAGAUAGAAAAUAGGUGCCCGUACCGCAAACCGACACAGGUAGUCAAGAUGAGAAUUCUAAGGUGAGCGAGCGAACUCUCGUUAAGGAACUCGGCAAAAUGACCCCGUAACUUCGGGAGAAGGGGUGCUCUUUAGGGUUAACGCCCAGAAGAGCCGCAGUGAAUAGGCCCAAGCGACUGUUUAUCAAAAACACAGGUCUCUGCUAAACCGUAAGGUGAUGUAUAGGGGCUGACGCCUGCCCGGUGCUGGAAGGUUAAGAGGAGUGGUUAGCUUCUGCGAAGCUACGAAUCGAAGCCCCAGUAAACGGCGGCCGUAACUAUAACGGUCCUAAGGUAGCGAAAUUCCUUGUCGGGUAAGUUCCGACCCGCACGAAAGGCGUAACGAUUUGGGCACUGUCUCAACGA